RNAcentral lists this ribosomal RNA (550 nucleotides) under uncultured bacterium. Its description in RNAcentral is "bacterial SSU rRNA". It matches the Rfam family "Bacterial small subunit ribosomal RNA", at positions 355 to 896 of the family's 1533-position model. The record is from RNAcentral.
UGGGGAAUCUUCCGCAAUGGACGAAAGUCUGACGGAGCAACGCCGCGUGAGUGAUGACGGCCUUCGGGUUGUAAAGCUCUGUUAAUCGGGACGAAAGGCCUUCUUGCGAAUAGUUAGAAGGAUUGACGGUACCGGAAUAGAAAGCCACGGCUAACUACGUGCCAGCAGCCGCGGUAAUACGUAGGUGGCAAGCGUUGUCCGGAAUUAUUGGGCGUAAAGCGCGCGCAGGCGGAUCAGUCAGUCUGUCUUAAAAGUUCGGGGCUUAACCCCGUGAGGGGAUGGAAACUGCUGAUCUAGAGUAUCGGAGAGGAAAGUGGAAUUCCUAGUGUAGCGGUGAAAUGCGUAGAUAUUAGGAAGAACACCAGUGGCGAAGGCGACUUUCUGGACGAAAACUGACGCUGAGGCGCGAAAGCCAGGGGAGCGAACGGGAUUAGAUACCCCGGUAGUCCUGGCCGUAAACGAUGGGUACUAGGUGUAGGAGGUAUCGACCCCUUCUGUGCCGGAGUUAACGCAAUAAGUACCCCGCCUGGGGAGUACGACCGCAAGGUUG